Molecule: ribosomal RNA, 493 nt
Filed under: uncultured bacterium
Lineage: Bacteria
Description: partial 16S ribosomal RNA
Rfam family: Bacterial small subunit ribosomal RNA
Source: RNAcentral
AUUGAACGCUGGCGGCAUGCUUUACACAUGCAAGUCGAACGGUAACAGGUUAAGCUGACGAGUGGCGAACGGGUGAGUAAUGCAUCGGAACGUGCCCGAUCGUGGGGGAUAACGCAGCGAAAGCUGCGCUAAUACCGCAUACGAUCUGAGGAUGAAAGCGGGGGACCGUAAGGCCUCGCGCGAUCGGAGCGGCCGAUGUCAGAUUAGGGAGUUGGUGGGGUAAAGGCUCAACAAGCCAACGAUCUGUAGCUGGUCUGAGAGGACGACCAGCCACACUUGGACUGAGACACGGCCCAGAGUGCUACGGGAGGAAGCAGCGGGGAAUUGUGGGCAAUGGGCGGAAGCCUGAUCCAGCAAUGCCGCGUGCAGGAAGAAGACCUUCGGGUUGUAAACUGCUUUUGUACGGAGCGAAAAGGCACUCUCUAAUACAGGGGGCUCAUGACGGUACCGUAAGAAUAAGCACCGGCUAACUACCUGCCAGCCGCCGCCGUAA